Long non-coding RNA from Chlorocebus sabaeus (green monkey), 1318 nucleotides. RefSeq lists it as uncharacterized. NCBI's taxonomy places the organism in Eukaryota, Metazoa, Chordata, Mammalia, Primates, Cercopithecidae. The record is from RefSeq and is a predicted model, not a curated record.
UUUCUUCUUGAAAAAAUAAAGAAGGGUCCCCUCUGUCGCCCCUGCCACAUGGAUGCUCCUCACGGGCUUGAGAUGGCAGCUUAUCUCAGAGCAUGGGAUGAUUUUUAACCAGGGAAUUCUCUUGAAGACUAAGUGGAGAAGAGAUGGAGACACACGGUGAGCCAUCAGGGCAGAAGGAAACACCCGGGGAAGCAACACUGCAUUGUCUGGGGGCAGUAACCCAGGCAGAUGUAUCGACAAGUGCCAUGGCAACGCCAGGUGGGAGUUGACCCUGGAGACAGGUGUCUACAAGUGGCCAGAUUGUCCCACCCAAGUGCGAUGGAGGAUGUAAGACCAUAAAUGCAGAUGUGAGUGACUUCUGACUGAAGCUAAGCAGACUCAACAAACCCAGCUGCAGUGGAAUGUGUACUAUAAUAAGUCUGAUUAUAUUCAGGAGGAAGUAGCUGCAGAGGAAAUCAGAAGCAUUUUAUCCCAUCGAGGAGGACACAGCAGAGAACUCUGCUGCUCCAGGAUGCAGGCCCUGAGCAGCCAUUCAAGGAUGGCACCGAAGAUGGAACAGAGCUGCUUUGGAAAGGUCUCUAGCCAGCAGUGUGAGAGGAUGGACUGAGGUGGAGGCUGCCACAGGGAUGGAGGAGUCUUAGAAGCUACUCCAAAUGAAGUAUGGGUGUUAUGUCCAGAUGCUACCCAGGGGCUGAAUCAUGGGAAUCAGGGACGAACAGACAGGUAAGACCCCAGUCAUUUCCUAGGAGGGAAGGGGACUUCAUGAGGUGCCUCACAACUCUUCUGGUUCCAAUGGCAAAAGUUCGGCCUUGGUUGUCCUACUUACUCCAGAGAGGUCAGACUUCUGUUGACCAGGAGGGAUCUGGCCAGAGCUUUGGCCCCUUUGUUACUGAUCUGGUUCUCUGCCAAGCUGCCCAAGGAAAGGGAGAGGAGUGGUUAUUUUGGGCAUGCACAUCUCAUGGCCUCUUCCUCAACACCGUGCCCAUGAUUAUUCCUGUAGGCCUCCCCACAUCAUCAGGGUCUGGACACAGCUGGAGAUGAGGUGACCCCUGGAGCAGAAUGCCAGGUACAGCAGAGCCCCUGAGCCUGGGCAGCAUAGGGCCAGAGUAGGAGGACAGACUCUCACCAUGGCAAAGGGUCCCUGAAAAAAGUUUAACCAGAAUCCAGCACAACAGCUUCUACACAAACAGCACAGCAAAGAAAAUGGAAAUCUCAGAAGCCUAACAUGCAAAUGGCAGCCAGUGGUGUGCUGGUAAACUGGCUCCCAGAAAAACAAAAUUUCAAAAACUGGGCUGUGCAUGGUGGCUCAUGCUUAUAC